This 283-nucleotide long non-coding RNA is filed under the name Mytilus galloprovincialis (Mediterranean mussel). The record is from RNAcentral. Lineage: Eukaryota; Metazoa; Mollusca; Bivalvia; Mytilida; Mytilidae.
GUGCGAGGAGAGAGAAAUAGAGAGUCCGAUUAGUGGUUGUUCGUUAUAUCUACUAUGUUGUUGUAUAUACUUUACAUGUGUUUUUAAUACAGUAUUGAACUUUUAAUCGACUUUGUGUUUAUGUUAACUUGCAAGACUUCGUUCAGACUACACCAGGAUCCAUUUAUUUAUUUAUGUGACCAGGAUUCCCUUAAUCACGCUACCAGAGAUUUUUAGGGUUACCCUGUUAAAGAGUAUACUUGGCAUUUGUCGUCCGUGGACGUGUGAAACGUAGACACCAAAC